AGGACGAACGCUAGCGGCGUGCCUAAGGUAUGCAAGUCGAACGGCCCGCAAGGGUAGUGGCGAACGGUCGAGUAACACGUAGACAACCUGCCCGCAAGUGGGGGAUAACAGCUCGAAAGGGCUGCUAAUACCGCAUGUGGCCCGGGGGCGCUGGCCCCUGGUGCUAAAGAUUUAUUGCUUGCGGAUGGGUCUGCGGCCUAUCAGGUAGUUGGUGAGGUAACGGCCCACCAAGCCGACGACGGGUAGCGGGUCUGAGAGGAUGAUCCGCCGGACGGGGACUGAGACACGGCCCCGACUCCUUCGGGAGGCAGCAAUGAGGAAUAUUGCACAAUGGGCGAAGGCCUGAUGCAGCGACGCCGCGUGGGUGAGGAAGUUCUUCGGAAUGUAAGGCCCUUUUAUCGGGGACGAUUCAAGACGGUACCCGAUGAAUAACGCCCCGGCUAACUACGUGCCAGCAGCCGC
This 462-nucleotide ribosomal RNA is filed under the name uncultured bacterium. Its description in RNAcentral is "SSU rRNA". It matches the Rfam family "Bacterial small subunit ribosomal RNA", at positions 26 to 518 of the family's 1533-position model. The record is from RNAcentral.